Molecule: ribosomal RNA, 484 nt
Filed under: uncultured bacterium
Lineage: Bacteria
Description: partial 16S ribosomal RNA
Rfam family: Bacterial small subunit ribosomal RNA
Source: RNAcentral
AGUGAACGCUGGCAGCGUGCUUAACACAUGCAAGUCGAACGAGAACGGGUUAUAGCUUGCUAUAAUUGUCAGCUAAGUGGCGCACGGGUGAGUAAUGUAUAGGUAAUAUGCCACUUACUAAGGGAUAACAAAUGGAAACGUUUGCUAAUACCUUAUACUCCUUAUUAACAGAAGUUAAUAAGGGAAAGAUUUAUUGGUAAGAGAUUAGCCUGUAUUGUAUCAGUUAGUUGGUGGGGUAAUGGCUUACCAAGACUAUGACACAUAACUGGUUUGAGAGGAUGAUCAGUCACACUGGAACUGAGACACGGUCCAGACUCCUACGGGAGGUAGCAGUGGGGAAUAUUGCACAAUGGACGAAAGUCUGAUGCAGCAACGCCGCGUGGAGGAUGACACAUUUCGGUGCGUAAACUCCUUUUAUAUGAGAAGAUAAUGACGGUAUUAUAUGAAUAAGCACCGGCUAACUCCGUGCCAGCCGCCGCCGUAA